This is a non-coding RNA of Nicotiana tabacum (common tobacco), 1486 nucleotides long. The record is from RefSeq and is a predicted model, not a curated record. NCBI's taxonomy places the organism in Eukaryota, Viridiplantae, Streptophyta, Magnoliopsida, Solanales, Solanaceae.
AAAGGAAUUUGUAAACAAAAUUCACAUUAAAUUUACAAGAGAGAAGGAACUCAAAGGCUCAAGCUUAAACUUCUUCAACCAGAUAGUUAAAUUGCUACGAUUCCAGUCUAAGGCGUAGAAGUGGAGGGAAACGAAGAGAAGAAAUGGCUAAAAGAACAAAUCAAUAGAUGCUCUAAUUGCAAAUGGGAUCUUGGCUACGUUCCUUUUUCACUCCAGCCGUGAAUUGGGUCUCCGUUCAAAACCUCCAGAAAUACGUAAUGCAACAAAUAUUGCAUCAGCUAGGUUGGAAUUGAGGUGUACGUGCUGUCGCUGUUGCAGCAAACUUUGAGGGGCUGUUUUGAAUAGCUUCCUACCAGGUAUCCUGGAAAACGAGGAGGCAACAAAAAGGUCAUUGCAAGAUGACAAAUUACAAAAUAUUGAAGAAGUACAGAAAAUCAUAGGGUACCACUUUAAUGAUCAGAAUUUACUGUGGCAAGCUUUUACACAUCCGUCGUAUGACAGGGACUGUAUAUCUUAUGAGCGGCUCGAGUAUGUGGGUGACUCGGUUCUUAACCUUAUGAUUACAAAACAACAGUUUUCCAAGUAUCCAAAUCUUCCACCUGGGUUGUUGUCACCUCUACGUGCAGCAAAUGUUGACACGGAGAAGCUUGCACGUGUUGCUGUUAAGCAUAGCUUCCACAAGUAUUUACGGCAUGGAAGGCCUAUCCUUACACGACGGAUUCAAUCAUUUAUAAAUGCUCUUCCAGAGUAUCCAUUGCAUUCCCAUGGAUUGAUAAAUGCUCCAAAGGUGCUUGCUGAUGUUGUUGAAUCAAAUUUAGGAGCAGUAUUUAUUGAUAGCAAUUCUUCAAUUGACAUUACCUGGGAGGUUUUGUGUGUGACCCUGAUCUUCUUCCACUUGACUAAAGUUAUCUAUAUUCACAUAUUCAAUCAUUUAUAAAUGCUCUUCCCGAGUAUCCAUUGCAUUCCCAUGGAUUGAUAAAUGCUCCAAAGGUGCUUGCUGAUAUCGUUGAAUCAACAAUAGAAGCAGUAUUUAUUGAUAGCAAUUCUUCAAUUGACACUACAUGGGAGAUUGAUUGAAGAAAGUCGUACAGAUCGCUCGAGGUGACGAAUUUGGUAUUUCAACACGAGUACUAGACAGCAGUAGACGCAUGCGGGGAUUCCGUUAGUUAGAGUACACGAGUUGACAAUUCCUGAGACAACAAUAGACACAAAUGAGGAUUCCGUUAAUUAGAGUACACGAGUUGACAAUUCCUGGUGAGCCCCUCAUUUAUUCGUGUGGCCAAAGAUUGUUAUUUAUUUGUUAUAGUCUCUUUCUUAAAACUCUUAGAGUCGCUCCCUCCAUAGUCAUUUUUAUGAGUCAUAAAUAUUCUUUUAUUGAUAUAGACUUACUCGUAUUAGUCUUUCUUAUCGUAUACUUGGAGAUGAAGUUAGUAUUAUUGUGUUGGAAAUAUUUCACGAAUGAGGAUUAAAACUUGUUUGGUCGAUA